This 72-nucleotide transfer RNA is filed under the name Anaerolineales bacterium. RNAcentral describes it as "tRNA-Arg". It matches the Rfam family "tRNA". From Rfam's summary of the family: Transfer RNA (tRNA) molecules are approximately 80 nucleotides in length. Their secondary structure includes four short double-helical elements and three loops (D, anti-codon, and T loops). The record is from RNAcentral. Lineage: Bacteria; Bacillati; Chloroflexota; Anaerolineae; Anaerolineales.
GCCCUCGUAGUUCAAUGGAUAGAACGAUCGCCUCCUAAGCGAUAAAUUCAGGUUCAAGUCCUGGCGGGGGUA